This is a non-coding RNA of Arachis ipaensis, 466 nucleotides long. Lineage: Eukaryota; Viridiplantae; Streptophyta; Magnoliopsida; Fabales; Fabaceae. The record is from RefSeq and is a predicted model, not a curated record.
AUACAGAAUCAACAAUAACAAUAUAUUCAGAUUCAAAAAUCCAUCAACAACAACACCACCACAUUCAAAUUCAAAAAUCCAUCAACAACAACACCAUCACAUUCAAAUUCAAGACAAAAAAUUUCAAAAAUCCAAUCUUUCAAACUCAAAGAGAGAGAACACAGAUUUCAGGAACAAAUCGAGGGCUCUCUGCUUCUCCCCUCUCUCCCAAUACAUGAGCCCAGCGUCCACCAUGGCGAGUGUAGAUCCAUGCGCCGCCGCUUUCUCGAAAGACUCUGUGCCUUUUCUAUAUUCUGCUUCACCCGUGGGUUUCCGUGCUUGAAUUUCUUCCCCCAUCGGAGCAGCAUCAUUGCCUCCCUCAGCAGCCGCAACACCUCCCACCAAGAUUGGCACACCACCGACGCCACCUAGCUACAUGAACAGAUCUGGAAAGAGAUGAGCUUCAGGUAGCAAAACAGAGAAACAG